This 73-nucleotide transfer RNA is filed under the name Oryctes borbonicus. It matches the Rfam family "tRNA". Rfam says of the family: Transfer RNA (tRNA) molecules are approximately 80 nucleotides in length. Their secondary structure includes four short double-helical elements and three loops (D, anti-codon, and T loops). Further hydrogen bonds mediate the characteristic L-shaped molecular structure. tRNAs have two regions of fundamental functional importance: the anti-codon, which is responsible for specific mRNA codon recognition, and the 3' end, to which the tRNAs corresponding amino acid is attached (by aminoacyl-tRNA synthetases). tRNAs cope with the degeneracy of the genetic code in two manners: having more than one tRNA (with a specific anti-codon) for a particular amino acid; and 'wobble' base-pairing, i.e. permitting non-standard base-pairing at the 3rd anti-codon position. Lineage: Eukaryota; Metazoa; Arthropoda; Insecta; Coleoptera; Scarabaeidae. The record is from Rfam by way of RNAcentral.
GUUUGUGUGGUGUAGUUGGUUAACACACUUGUCCAGCAAACAGGAGCCAUAGAUUCGAAUUCUACCGGAGUCA